RNAcentral lists this ribosomal RNA (393 nucleotides) under uncultured bacterium. RNAcentral describes it as "partial 16S ribosomal RNA". It matches the Rfam family "Bacterial small subunit ribosomal RNA", at positions 523 to 918 of the family's 1533-position model. The record is from RNAcentral.
CUACGGAGGAUGCAAGCGUUAUCCGGAUUUAUUGGGUUUAAAGGGUGCGUAGGCGGGACUGUAAGUCAGGGGUGAAAUACUGCAGCUUAACUGUAGCAUUGCCUUUGAAACUGUGGUUCUUGAGUACAGUUGAGGUAGGCGGAAUGUGGUGUGUAGCGGUGAAAUGCAUAGAUAUACCACAGAACGCCGAUUGCGAAGGCAGCUUACUAAGCUGUUACUGACGCUGAGGCACGAAAGCGUGGGGAUCAAACAGGAUUAGAUACCCUGGUAGUCCACGCUGUAAACGAUGAUUACUGGUUGUUAGCGAUAUAUAGCUAGUGACUGAGCGAAAGCAUUAAGUAAUCCACCUGGGGAGUACGUCGGCAACGAUGAAACUCAAAGGAAUUGACGGGG